RNAcentral lists this ribosomal RNA (476 nucleotides) under uncultured organism. Its description in RNAcentral is "bacterial SSU rRNA". It matches the Rfam family "Bacterial small subunit ribosomal RNA", at positions 28 to 507 of the family's 1533-position model. The record is from RNAcentral.
GAUGAACGCUAGCGGGAGGCUUAAUACAUGCAAGUCGAGCGGCAAGGUCUUCGGACCCUAGAGCGGCGCACGGGUGAGUAACGCGUACGCAAUCUGCCCUUCAGUGAGGAAUAGCCCUGGGAAACUGGGAUUAAUACCUCAUAAUAUUGUUUGUUCGCAUGGAUAGACAAUUAAAGUUCUGGCGCUGAAGGAUGAGCGUGCGUCUGAUUAGCUAGUUGGUAGGGUAACGGCCUACCAAGGCGACGAUCAGUAGGGGGCGUGAGAGCGUGACCCCCCACACGGGUACUGAGACACGGACCCGACUCCUACGGGAGGCAGCAGUAAGGAAUAUUGGGCAAUGGAGGCAACUCUGACCCAGCCAUCCCGCGUGAAGGAUUAAGGCCCUAUGGGUUGUAAACUUCUUUUGUUUGGGAAGAAAUCAGGACAUUUAUGUGCUGUUGACGGUACCUUACGAAUAAGCACCGGCUAACUCCGUG